Molecule: transfer RNA, 72 nt
Filed under: Centropristis striata (black sea bass)
Lineage: Eukaryota; Metazoa; Chordata; Actinopteri; Perciformes; Serranidae
Description: tRNA-Asp
Source: RNAcentral
UAGGCACUAGUAACAACCCUAUUACGCCGGUUAGUCAAGUCGGAGUUGUGGGUGAAAAUCCCACGUAUCUAG